This 356-nucleotide ribosomal RNA is filed under the name uncultured bacterium. RNAcentral's name for it is "partial 16S ribosomal RNA". It matches the Rfam family "Bacterial small subunit ribosomal RNA", at positions 338 to 691 of the family's 1533-position model. The record is from RNAcentral.
CCUACGGGAGGCAGCAGUGAGGAAUAUUGGUCAAUGGGCGCGAGCCUGAACCAGCCAAGUCGCGUGAGGGAUGAAGGUUCUAUGGAUCGUAAACCUCUUUUAUAAGGGAAUACAGUGUGGGUAGUGUCCUAUUUUGUAUGUACCUUAUGAAUAAGGAUCGGCUAACUCCGUGCCAGCAGCCGCGGUAAUACGGAGGAUCCGAGCGUUAUCCGGAUUUAUUGGGUUGAAGGGGUGCGUAGGCGGCCGUUUAAGUCAGCGGUGAAAGUCUGUGGCUCAACCAUAGAAUUGCCGUUGAAACUGGGGGGCUUGGGGAUGUUUGAGGCAGGCGGAAUGCGGGGUGUAGCGGUGAAAUGCUU